RNAcentral lists this long non-coding RNA (333 nucleotides) under Rattus norvegicus (Norway rat). RNAcentral describes it as "long non-coding RNA NONRATT004406". Lineage: Eukaryota; Metazoa; Chordata; Mammalia; Rodentia; Muridae. The record is from RNAcentral.
AGGACCCUCUUACUUCCCAGCUGCACCUUCUCAUUUGCCAAUAAGGGUCUGUGAGUUCAGCAGCCAUGAGUUCCGACUCUGAGAUGGCCGUUUUCGGGGAGGCUGCUCCUUACCUCCGGAAGUCUGAAAAGGAGCGAAUCGAGGCCCAGAAUAGGCCUUUUGAUGCCAAAACAUCUGUCUUUGUGGCGGAGCCCAAGGAGUCCUUUGUCAAAGGAACCAUUCAGAGCAAAGACGCAGGGAAAGUGACUGUGAAAACUGAAGCAGGAGCGACCCUGACGGUGAAAGAAGACCAGAUCUUCCCCAUGAACCCUCCCAAGUACGACAAGAUCGAGG